Molecule: long non-coding RNA, 3409 nt
Filed under: Homo sapiens (human)
Lineage: Eukaryota; Metazoa; Chordata; Mammalia; Primates; Hominidae
Description: HSALNT0296892
Source: RNAcentral
AAAAAAAAAAAAAAAAAAAGAUGAGGGUCCAGAGAUUCCAGUCUAAUGCCUCACUCCUGGGUCGAUCUCACCAAAUAGCAAAGGGUUUCCUGUUCACCCUUUCCAUACUGGAACAAGUGAGAGGUGGAGGAUGGUGAAUCAUUUUCCAAAGCCAGAAUUGGCCCUCUUGGAAUCUUUGUGCAUUUCUGAUGGAAUGUAGGAAAAUUAAGGGAAAUCGGGAGGCUCCAGGGAUUUAGCAUGGUUCGGGCCACAGCACAAGGUCCCAUAGGCUCUGAAAGACUAAGCUAUAGCUCCAAUACAGGCGUUAUCUGACUCCAAAGUUCAGGCCUCUUCUACUUGAGAUCUGAGUCCCUCACACUGGAGCAUGGUCAGUUAAGGCUGCAAAAGGGAGAGAGUAAUGGAGGUCAGCGUUGAAUAGAUACGAAUAUAAACUCUUGGGCACUGUUAACGCCAAACAGCCUGACAUCUUACUUCAGAUAUAACUGUAACAGUGUCCAAAAUCCAAUAUUAGCAUUUAAAACUUGUAGCACACUUAUUGUGGAGUCAUUGAGUGAUGCAGAAAGAAAAAAAAAUAAAGCCCUGAGAAUUCAGCUCAUUUACCCAAGUCACUGACGCAUUUAAGGAACAGCUCUUAUAAGUCCAUUUAGGUGGUUUAGGGCUGCGGAAGAUGCCCAGAAUCCCUAAAUAGAAAUAAGUACUGGUCAUCAGAGCAGUGCGGUUAGGCCCUUUCUGGCCAGGAGGUCAUCUUGGGCUCCAGAGCCACUUGUUCAGCUCUGAUAUCUAAACAGCCAAAGUGAAUUAUUCACUUAGGAGGGUGAAAAACACUCAACUCCCUGGGAUUGUCAAAUGGAGUUUUCCAUCAUAAAAUAUCUUAGUCAUUUGGAAUCUAACCAAAGUAAACGCCUGGUCCUGACCCAUCCAUACCUCUGUGCUGGAUGGGAAAGGAGAGAGGGAAAUCCCAAAACAAAUGGAAAAGCCACUUUGCCAGCCACAGAGCAUGCAUGGCCCUCCCUGGGCAGGUCUACUCCAGGUGAGACACGGUUUGAGCCAGGCUACAGCCCCCAGAGCUAUCUAACCACAGGAGCUUGAAUGACACACCUACCUCUCAAGAUUAUAGAGUCUGCCUCAAAAGCCACCACUAUGCCAGCUUCCUGUGUGGGUCUAUAGACCCCUUGGGAGAUCUACAUGAUAGUGCCUGAACGGAGACUGAGCAUUAGAAUGCAUCUUAAUUUCAAGCACAUCAGCUCCACUGCCAAUAUGGAUUCAGUGAUCCAAAGUGUUUAAAUCCAAGUCUGGGGUGCAAGUUGAUGCUCUUAAGUGGCUGUUGUGGACCUGGGGUUCCUGUGACAGUAAACUUGGGCUUGAGAAAGGAUCCAAAGAGUGCCUGGGCCUCAAGAAGACACUACCAAGGAAUGAAUGGCCCUCACUGAACUCCUGUGACAUAAUAAGAUAUCUUCACCAUUGAAUAAGGGAUUUUCCUUGAAAAUAUUAUGCUAAUUGAAAGAAACCAAAUUGUAGAAGGUCACAUAUUAUAUGAUUUCAUUUAUAUGAAAUGUCCAGAAUAGGCAAAUCUAUAGAGACAGAAAGUAGAUUCAUUCUUAUCAGAGGCUGAGGGGUAAGGUGGGGAAAUGGCUUUGACUGCUAGUGGGUGUAAGGUUUCUUUUGUGGGGAGAUGAAAAUGUUCUAGAAUUUGAGAUUGGUGAUGGAUGCAUGAUUUUAUCAAUGUACUAAAAGCCAUUGACUUGCACACAUUAAAUUAGUAAAUGGUAUGGUACAUAAAUUACAACUCAAUAAAGCUGUUUAAAAAAAAUACGGCAUUCUGUCUACUAAAAUAAAACAAAAGAAAUAAGUAAAACCAGACUUUCACAGUCAACAAGUCUGUCAUCAGAUAAUGCUGAUUAAUAGUAAAACUGUAAUACACUCUCCCUCUGAAGUUGGAGUGGGCUCUGCUGAAAAUAGAAAUCUCAGGCAUAUGAAGAGGUUGGUGUCAGUCUGUUCUUCGUGGAAUACAUUUAAUGAGAAUCUUUUGCUUCUUUCUCUAAAGAAAGUAGAACUGAAAGAGGAGGGUGUCAGUUUCUUAGCAGCUUGCAAAGCCCAAAUCAAUAUAAAAAGAGCUUCCAUUUCUCAAGUAUCUUCUAGGUAUUCAGUGAAUACCCAGGGUUAAGGCUAUUUACAUGCAUACUUGCUAAUCCUCACCACAACGCUGCAAGGUAGAUAUUCCUAUCUCUGUUUCACUUAGGAGAGAAAUUAUGUUCCCAAAGUUGCAGAGCAAGUAAAUAGCAGAACCAAGAUUAGACCCAGAUCAGUCUAACUCCAAGGCCUUUGUCCUCAGUAUCUCUCAACCCUCAAUUAGAAGAGUUAUCACGGCCCUGGCUGAACCUGCCUAGGUUAUUUAACAAAUUUUUAGCAUUUUGAAGCCAUUCCAUUCAGUUACAGCAGCAGUUACUGUUCAGAAAUUUACAUUCCAAAAACUGAAAUCAACAAGGCAAUGCUGCUUGUCUCAGCAUUGUAGUUUUGAUGAUUCUUAGAGAUGUGUUAUGUUAUUUAAGACAUUUUUAGUGGCUCUCACUGCCAAAGACUAUGGAUCUCAUCAUUGCCUGUGCCCACAAGGACCCUCUGUUCCCUCUGACCUCAGGCCUCUUCCCAUCCAACAAGCCUCUCUGCACUUCUAUGUUCCCCUACUGGAACAAAGUCAGAACUGGAUCUGCUGACGCCACAUAUAGGUAUGGAAUCUGAGAUUGCUCUAUUGGGAUCAUCAUUCUAGACACUUCCCUCUGCCAUGGCAGGCUUUUGCUUCCAUGCCAGAUUGACAUGAUGCUAUACUGAGUGAGGACAACUCUGAGAGACCCACAGUCUUCCCAAGCUAGACCCAGGGAAGCAGUUUGGGGGUUCCCCAAAUAUAUUUGGCUGUUUGCAUGGACCCAGGGGGAUUUAACCUCAAGGGCAAAAUAAGAACUCUCAUCUCAGAAUCCCUGCCACCCUCUCUGUGCCCUACUCUUCAUGACUGGAAGAAGUUUUCUCUUCCCUUAGGGGUGGGAAUGCCAAGUCAUAUCCUGCUUCUCUCAAUACCGUGCCUCAGAGUAGAACCCUUUGCUCAGACCCCUCAGGUCUGCUCUGGAUAUAUAAAGGGAAUCUUUGGAAACAUACAAAACCCUUUCUCUCUCAAUAAAUCCUGGCUUUCAAGGUGAAUUCCUCUUCAUGGACCCAAAGAGUCUAAUUUCAAAUGGAAAGCUCAGGAAUGAUCUCUUGUUCUGGACCAGUUCUACCCAGGCUCUGAUCUCUGUGUGUGAACUGUUUGUUACUGUCUGCAACAAUAAAGUAUAGGAAUUGAGAAUAUUUGGAAACUUUUAUAGAAAUUUGGCAGAGCAAUUUUAUGUUGUUGAAUUUAAUUAAAAUCUUGUACCUCUUA